AAUGUGCCUUCGGGGAACCGUGAGACAGGUGCUGCAUGGCUGUCGUCAGCUCGUGUUGUGAAAUGUUGGGUUAAGUCCCGCAACGAGCGCAACCCUUAUCCUUUGUUGCCAGCGGUCCGGCCGGGAACUCAAAGGAGACUGUUAGUGAUAAACUGGAGGAAGGUGGGGAUGACGUCAAGUCAUCAUGGCCCUUACGACCAGGGCUACACACGUGCUACAAUGGCGCAUACAAAGAGAAGCGACCUCGCGAGAGCAAGCGGACCUCAUAAAGUGCGUCGUAGUCCGGAUUGGAGUCUGCAACUCGACUCCAUGAAGUCGGAAUCGCUAGUAAUCGUGGAUCAGAAUGCCACGGUGAAUACGUUCCCGGGCCUUGUACACACCGCCCGUCACACCAUGGGAGUGGGUUGCAAAAGAAGUAGGUAGCUUAACCUUCGGG
Molecule: ribosomal RNA, 436 nt
Filed under: uncultured Gammaproteobacteria bacterium
Lineage: Bacteria; Pseudomonadati; Pseudomonadota; Gammaproteobacteria
Description: bacterial SSU rRNA
Rfam family: Bacterial small subunit ribosomal RNA
Source: RNAcentral